This 75-nucleotide small nucleolar RNA is filed under the name Nilaparvata lugens (brown planthopper). The record is from RNAcentral. Lineage: Eukaryota; Metazoa; Arthropoda; Insecta; Hemiptera; Delphacidae.
UUGCAAUGAUGAUAAAGAUCCAACUCUGAUUAUCUGUGAAGUCAGUUACAUUACGAGCUUUUUACACUGAGCAUU